RNAcentral lists this long non-coding RNA (359 nucleotides) under Androctonus crassicauda. Lineage: Eukaryota; Metazoa; Arthropoda; Arachnida; Scorpiones; Buthidae. The record is from RNAcentral.
UCAGGCAGGCCAGCUCCAAUGAAUUUUGCCACCCAUUAUAGGUAUAGUAAGUUACCAUUGUAGGUAUAGAAAGUUUCCCAUCUGUAUCUCUUAAUCUGUGCUGCUAAUAUUAAUGGAGAAGGAGAAUAGUGCGCCUGCGUUAGUUUCACUACAUACGUACGAACGUUGUGCAAAACAUGAUCAUUAUUAUUGUUGUGUGCGUUAUGUUGACUGGGCCGCAAAUAUAUUCAUUGUGGGCCGCAUGCGGCCCGCGGGCCGCGAGUUUGACACCCUUGACUUACACUCUCACUUCUUAAGGCUGAUUCACACGGGCGGCAGUUGUCGCUCGACAGUGCGCGCCAAGGUCAAAUUUUGUCGAC